AAGACAACAAAAGAAGAAGAAAAAAACAAGGUGAAUAUCACAGAAUAUUUAUAUUGAUUGUGUGUCAUUUAAUCAAGGCGUAAACCUGUCAAAAAUAGUACAAAAAUUGUGAAAAUUUUAAAUAUUUGAAAAAACGGACAAUAAUUGUGUGUAUUUAGGAUAUAUUAAAUGCUAGCUGUGAAUUUAACCUAUAGUGAGACAAACAUGUCAUAUUCCAAAAAUAUUAAAUGCUAUACAUUUUAUAAGAAGUAGUGGAAGUGACACUGUGGUGGGAAUUUAUAAGUAAAUAAGAAAGAAAGAAAGAAGGAAAAAGAAUGAAUGAUCCAGAAACACUUGUAUAUUGAAUAUGCAUACAAUAUACAAAUACAUGCACAGUCAGGCAUGCGCUCAUAAAGAUGCUAAAAAUAAAUGUGAACUCGACAAUGUUUUAUAAAAAGGAGAGUGUAUUUUCCUUGUGGAUCCACAAUAUAUCCCAUAAGCUUGUUGUUAAAUGGGGUACAGAUAUUUCUAUGUCACAGAAGUUAAUGUGUUAAGCUGGGAAUGUUUGGCACGUUGUAUGUCUUACAUAAACAGACAUUCAUUUCCAGGUCAUUGUGAGGUCAGAGUGCAGUCUUUCACUCCCAAUGGAGGAAACAUGAUCAGUGAUGUUGGAUAUCUCAGCGCUGAACAACUGGAGAGACACAGGUCUGUCAGACUAUCUGUGUGUUUAUUUAUACAGUAUGUGCAUUGUGACAUAAUCAUAUGUAGAGUGCUUAGUAUUUCCUUUGGUACAGAUGGCAGGCCUCACAACACUACAUAAUGAGAGUGUGUGGAAGGACACAGAUCCUGGAACCAAGUCUCAUGUCUGUCUGAAGCAUUACAGAGGCACCCAUACGAAGGAUGAUUGUGGGCCAGGGGUCGACGUUGAAUCAGAUUGGGAUGGAAUGCUCCUGAGAUCAGAGAACAGAGGACAGAGAAGGAGGGGCUGUACCAGGUCAAACUCCAUCAGUUAUUCCCAUCACUACCAUGCCCUUAACAUUUCUAUGUUUAACAAGGAUUUAGAGGAGGAUUCUGUCUGUCAAAGCACAAGAUCAGGACUGUGUUAUUUGCAAAUACAUAAGAGCUCCAUACUACUGCUAAUGAAUGAAGAAUGA
Cyprinus carpio carpio is the source of this 1133-nucleotide long non-coding RNA. NCBI's taxonomy places the organism in Eukaryota, Metazoa, Chordata, Actinopteri, Cypriniformes, Cyprinidae. The record is from Ensembl.